Molecule: ribosomal RNA, 1418 nt
Filed under: uncultured bacterium
Lineage: Bacteria
Description: bacterial SSU rRNA
Rfam family: Bacterial small subunit ribosomal RNA (bases 702-1418)
Source: RNAcentral
GAGUUUGAUCCUGGCUCAGGACGAACGCUGGCGGUAUGCUUAACACAUGCAAGUCGAACGAGAAGGAAGAGCUUGCUCUUCCUGAAAGUGGCGAACGGGUGAGUAACGCGUGGGUAACCUACCCUUUGGAAAGGAAUAGCCUCGGGAAACUGGGAGUAAUGCCUUAUAAGAUACGUUUGUCGCAUGGCAUUUGUAUUAAACGCUCCGGCGCCAUAGGAUGGACCCGCGUCUCAUUAGCUAGUUGGUGAGAUAACAGCUCACCAAGGCCACGAUGGGUAACCGGUCUGAGAGGGCGAACGGUCACACUGGAACUGAGACACGGUCCAGACUCCUACGGGAGGCAGCAGUGGGGAAUAUUGCGCAAUGGGGGCAACCCUGACGCAGCAAUACCGCGUGAGUGAAGAAGGUUUUCGGAUCGUAAAGCUCUGUUAUUGGGGAAGAAAAAAAGACGGUACCCAAGAAGAAAGUUCCGGCUAACUACGUGCCAGCAGCCGCGGUAAUACGUAGGGAACAAGCGUUGUCCGGAUUUACUGGGCGUAAAGGGCACGCAGGCGGUUUUUUAAGUCAGAUGUGAAAGGCCACAGCUCAACUGUGGACAUGCAUUUGAAACUGAAAGACUUGAGUAUUGGAGAGGCAAGUGGAAUUCCUAGUGUAGCGGUGAAAUGCGUAGAUAUUAGGAGGAACACCGGUGGCGAAGGCGGCUUGCUGGGAGUUUGAUCCUGGCUCAGGACGAACGCUGGCGGUAUGCUUAACACAUGCAAGUCGAACGAGAAGGAAGAGCUUGCUCUUCCUGAAAGUGGCGAACGGGUGAGUAACGCGUGGGUAACCUACCCUUUGGAAAGGAAUAGCCUCGGGAAACUGGGAGUAAUGCCUUAUAAGAUACGUUUGUCGCAUGGCAUUUGUAUUAAACGCUCCGGCGCCAUAGGAUGGACCCGCGUCUCAUUAGCUAGUUGGUGAGAUAACAGCUCACCAAGGCCACGAUGGGUAACCGGUCUGAGAGGGCGAACGGUCACACUGGAACUGAGACACGGUCCAGACUCCUACGGGAGGCAGCAGUGGGGAAUAUUGCGCAAUGGGGGCAACCCUGACGCAGCAAUACCGCGUGAGUGAAGAAGGUUUUCGGAUCGUAAAGCUCUGUUAUUGGGGAAGAAAAAAAGACGGUACCCAAGAAGAAAGUUCCGGCUAACUACGUGCCAGCAGCCGCGGUAAUACGUAGGGAACAAGCGUUGUCCGGAUUUACUGGGCGUAAAGGGCACGCAGGCGGUUUUUUAAGUCAGAUGUGAAAGGCCACAGCUCAACUGUGGACAUGCAUUUGAAACUGAAAGACUUGAGUAUUGGAGAGGCAAGUGGAAUUCCUAGUGUAGCGGUGAAAUGCGUAGAUAUUAGGAGGAACACCGGUGGCGAAGGCGGCUUGCUGG